RNAcentral lists this long non-coding RNA (385 nucleotides) under Prunus dulcis (almond). RNAcentral describes it as "sRNA ncRNA". The record is from RNAcentral. Lineage: Eukaryota; Viridiplantae; Streptophyta; Magnoliopsida; Rosales; Rosaceae.
UAGAAAUUGUGUGAAUUUAAUUUGUGGAGAUGUGAUAUGAAAAGCAAGCUUAUAGGAUUUGAUUUUGUUUUCAUACAUUCAUUUUUCUUGAGUGAAACACUUAACCCAAACUUUGAGCGUUUUAUUUGUGAGUGACAUUCUUAGUGAGAUUUGGGGUUGAAGUUUUGAUUUGCAUAUACCUCUCCGGGUUGAGUGAGUUGUAUUGAUAUUGGCUAUUUCACACACUACACUUGAGAAUGCUAUGUACGGUUUUGUUAAUUUUUGAAUCAUGCUUGUGGUUUAUAUGAUGGUUAUUUGAUUCUUUAGAGUUAUAUACCUUACGCGAUUUAUUGAGACUAAUAUGUAAAGGCCUAACAUUCUUUUGAGUCUUUGUUUUGUUUUGUUU